UUCCUACGGGGGGCAGCAGUGGGGGAUAUUGCACAAUGGGCGAAAGCCUGACCGAGCAACGCCGCGUGAAUGAAGAAGGCCUUCGGGUUGUAAAAUUCUGUUAUAAGGGAAGAAAGGUGAUAGGAGGAAAUGACUAUCAAUUGACGGUACCUUAUGAGAAAGCCACGGCUAACUACGUGCCAGCAGCCGCGGUAAUACGUAGGUGGCAAGCGUUAUCCGGAAUUAUUGGGCG
This 232-nucleotide ribosomal RNA is filed under the name uncultured bacterium. RNAcentral's name for it is "partial 16S ribosomal RNA". It matches the Rfam family "Bacterial small subunit ribosomal RNA", at positions 336 to 560 of the family's 1533-position model. The record is from RNAcentral.